CUUGAAUGUAUUUGUGUCUGAAAGUGUAAGGCGUUGAUCUGCAAGUAGUCCUGUGGCCAGCUGUAGAAACGGUACAAGAAUUAGAGAGAUAUACAACAGAGGGAGCUCUCGUGAUCGAUUAACUCACAUUGCGGAUAGGUCUGCGGAUCGGCUGGCCUUUCUUUAGCAUCGAGGAACGCCUUUGCGAAAGGAUUGUAUUUAAUCUUCAAAUUUGUAACUUCUUCGUUCUGGUAGGCCGUCACCGCUAUGAAUUGUGUCUCGGGAUAACGCGCGUCACGACGAAAUUACAAACCUCGGAGGAAUUUAGAAGAGAUAUCGUACCGUUCGUUCUUCCACCGCGUCCACGCGAACCAGAUGAAUUCGAGGCUCGUAUUUAUGCAGGGAGUUUAGCAUAAUUUGCCCGUUCCCG
Frieseomelitta varia is the source of this 409-nucleotide long non-coding RNA. RefSeq lists it as uncharacterized. The transcript is spliced from 3 exons. The record is from RefSeq and is a predicted model, not a curated record. NCBI's taxonomy places the organism in Eukaryota, Metazoa, Arthropoda, Insecta, Hymenoptera, Apidae.